GACAGAGGAUGCAAGCGUUAUCCGGAAUGAUUGGGCGUAAAGCGUCUGUAGGUGGCUUUUCAAGUCCGCCGUCAAAUCCCAGGGCUCAACCCUGGACAGGCGGUGGAAACUACCAAGCUGGAGUACGGUAGGGGCAGAGGGAAUUUCCGGUGGAGCGGUGAAAUGCGUAGAUAUCUGGAGGAACACCGGUGGCGAAGGCGGCGUCCUGGACCAACACUGACACUAAGGAGCGAAAGCCAGGGGAGCAAACGGG
This 253-nucleotide ribosomal RNA is filed under the name uncultured bacterium. RNAcentral describes it as "partial 16S ribosomal RNA". It matches the Rfam family "Bacterial small subunit ribosomal RNA", at positions 524 to 776 of the family's 1533-position model. The record is from RNAcentral.